Long non-coding RNA from Nannospalax galili (Upper Galilee mountains blind mole rat), 273 nucleotides. RefSeq lists it as uncharacterized. The transcript is spliced from 3 exons. Lineage: Eukaryota; Metazoa; Chordata; Mammalia; Rodentia; Spalacidae. The record is from RefSeq and is a predicted model, not a curated record.
CUCACCUACCAUCUUCAUAUUAGGGUACUGACUUAUGUGGAUCCCCCAAAACCCUAUGAAGCUGGUGUCAUUAACAAGUCACUUCCGUUUUAAAGAGGAAGAAAAGCUGCAAAGUGGAUUGGGCUCUCCAGAGAAACUUACAAGAAACCAGACAAAAUCACUAAGUCAUUCUGUCCCAGCCCUUUUCAGUGACCUAGAGUAAACUUGACUCAUUGUAAUAUUAAAAUGCUCUGCCCAGAGACAUUCCUGCCUGCCUGAUUCCAUUCCUGCCAU